CUGGAAAGUUAUGAUCUUUUAAAAAAAUGGGCAGGCAGUUUGGAUGAUCUUUGGUCAUGCGAGCUGGACAUUGUCUCCAGACUGAAGAGCCUUUUCUGACAUCCUCAUUUGUUCUGCUGUGUAAUAGCAUGGGAUCUUUCAGAGCUGUCGACAUCUGCUGCACUCUAGAGAGCUGCAGAACCGAGCCAGCAAAGCAAUAAUAAUUAUGCCCAAAUGGACUGCAAAGGAUGUAAGAGAUAAGAAGGAAGACCAGAAAAAAAUACACUCGAUGCAAUGGUG
Molecule: long non-coding RNA, 279 nt
Organism: Neofelis nebulosa (Clouded leopard)
Lineage: Eukaryota; Metazoa; Chordata; Mammalia; Carnivora; Felidae
Exons: 2
Source: RefSeq, a predicted model, not a curated record